This 18-nucleotide unclassified non-coding RNA is filed under the name Mus musculus (house mouse). RNAcentral's name for it is "oocyte_clustered_small_RNA3750". The record is from RNAcentral. Lineage: Eukaryota; Metazoa; Chordata; Mammalia; Rodentia; Muridae.
UACUGGAGCUGAGGGUUG